GAUGAACGCUAGCUGCAGGCUUAACACAUGCAAGUCGAGGGGAAACGCCAUCGAAAGCUUGCUUUUGAUUGGCGUCGACCGGCGCACGGGUGAGUAACGCGUAUCCCACCUGCCCAUCACUUGGGGAUAACCUUGCGAAAGUAAGACUAAUUCCCAUUUUUAUCCCUAGAAGUCAUCUGAAAGAGACUAAAUUUUUAUCGGUGAUGGAUGGGGCUGCGUCUGAUUAGCUUGUUGGCGGGGUAACGGCCUACCAAGGCAACGAUCAGUAGCGGUUCUGAGAGGAAGGUCCACCAGAUUGGAACCGAGACACAGACCAAACUGCGAGGGGAGGGAGGGGUAAGGAACAUAGGGGAAUGGAGGAGGACGGAGACAAGCCAAGUAGGGUACAAGAAGACGGGGAUAUGGGUUGUAAACUGCUAGUAAAAAAGAAAAGAGUGAGAAUCGGGACACAUUUUGAAUGUACCUAAUGAAAAAGGACCGGCUAAUUACGUG
This 492-nucleotide ribosomal RNA is filed under the name uncultured bacterium. Its description in RNAcentral is "partial 16S ribosomal RNA". It matches the Rfam family "Bacterial small subunit ribosomal RNA", at positions 28 to 507 of the family's 1533-position model. The record is from RNAcentral.